This 60-nucleotide transfer RNA is filed under the name Daltonia sp. YL-2021. Its description in RNAcentral is "partial tRNA-Phe". It matches the Rfam family "tRNA", at positions 1 to 58 of the family's 71-position model. From Rfam's summary of the family: Transfer RNA (tRNA) molecules are approximately 80 nucleotides in length. Their secondary structure includes four short double-helical elements and three loops (D, anti-codon, and T loops). The record is from RNAcentral. Lineage: Eukaryota; Viridiplantae; Streptophyta; Bryopsida; Hookeriales; Daltoniaceae.
GCCGGAAUAGCUCAGUUGGUAGAGCAGAGGACUGAAAAUCCUUGUGUCACCAGUUCAAAU